Long non-coding RNA from Columba livia (rock pigeon), 2435 nucleotides. RefSeq lists it as uncharacterized. Lineage: Eukaryota; Metazoa; Chordata; Aves; Columbiformes; Columbidae. The transcript is spliced from 3 exons. The record is from RefSeq and is a predicted model, not a curated record.
GGCGCGGGCGCGGGGAGCGUGACCGUGAGGUGAGAGCGUGUGGGUGGCGGGCGGGGCGUCGCGGCGCGGGCGGAUGGGCAUCGCUUCUCGGCCUUUUGGCUAAGAUCAAGUGUAGUAUCUGUUCUUAUCAGUUUAAUAUCUGAUACGUCCUCGAUGAGAGGACUUUAUAUUAAACGGAUUUUUGGGCCUGGGAGUUGGAUCCGGAGCUUGCUCCCUCCGCUCCGCGCAUCGUCCCGGUAUUGCAGUGCCUCCGGGAACGGUGCACCCCCGCGGGGGACCUUGUAACGGUGAAAGACAGAGCUGGUUGUUUUCUUGAUUCGCUCUUUCUGUCUUGCGGGGGGAAAGCUGUGACUGCGAUGUCGGCGGCACUUCAUCGCUGCCUACCCGAAACAGAGCUCCUCCGCGGCUCCUUGGCUCUCGCUCUCUCGCUCUGCGGGACGCGCGGGGGCAUCGCUGGGCACUCUGUGCCGUGGGCCGGUUCUCCGGAGCGCGUUUUCCGCUGCGCUGCGCCUUGUCCCGGGUGAAUGUCCCGCUGCAGGGCGCCCCCGCGCGUCCCACCCACGCCGUGCACCCUUCCUCUUCUCAUCCCGUUAAAUCGGCAAACUAACAGACUCUUCAAAAACACCCCCUUGGCUUUUAAACGUAGCGUUUCUUAAGCAGCGCCGGGGCCGAGCUCGUGUCCGGGCGGGGGGAGCAGGAGCAGCCUCAUCCCGUCCCCGCUGCCCCUCGCCGCGGCCGGGCAGCUUCUGCCGCUCUCGCUGCGGGUCGGGCGGGGCCGGCCCGGGGCGCUCCUGCGGCAGCGGGCGGCUGCGGCUGCAGGGCUGCGGGGGGCUGAGCUCCCCCCGUCCCUCAGCAUCACACACGGGCGCUGCAAACGGGCCAGAAAGCAGCUGUGUGGGGGCCACAAAUGGAGACGAAGCUUUCCCUUCCCGAGGCUUGAAAAGCACGCUCCUGCGCCUGAAUUUGGGGCUCAGAAACAGGCUGAGUUGUGUCGCUUUGGGCUCAGAAACAGGGGCCAAAUCCUGCCUUUUUGGGACUCGAGAACAGGCUUGGCAGCUGGGUUUUAGGCUCAGAAAUGGGCGCUAAGGGAGCUGUCUUGGGGCAAAAAGCAGAAGGCAGUUGGGCUGGUUUUGCAGGGGCGGGAGGGCAGUGGGGGGAGCAGGGACUGGGCAGCGUGCGUGGACCCUCCCGGAGGUGGGGGUCUGGUUGGUCACCCCAAGGGCCAGGAGGCCGCGUGCACCACGGCGAGCUCAAUGUCUGAGACGCCUCUGGAAAAGGCUCUUCCGGACCCCACGCGUGCUCUGUGCGCGCUGCUCUUCUGUGUCCGCUGCCGAGAGCAGUUGUUAACUAAUUAAUCAUACAAAGUCAGCAAUAUUUAUACAAUGUACAGCUAUGGUGUUUAAUCCUAAUACUCAAUUUUUUGCCAGCAGUUCAUUUACAGCGUUGUCGAAAGCCCGGACUGCAGCAUGCAGCAGGCAGAGCCGAAAUCACCUCCCAAUUUGCCUCCUCUUUUGCCGGUGCCGCAUCCCGCGUCAGGUGAAGAAACUCCUGGGCGGUCGAUUCCACGUGCUGCUCAGUCCUCCCCAGAACGUAGUGCAUGGGUCCCAGGAUCUCUGGGACCUUACGCCGGCACCAGGGGGUUCCUGGAAGGGAGCACAGACCAUCUGACCGGCCUGGGACGCGGGUAAGACCCCAUCAGCAGGGAGAAGGCUCUUCCCAGCGGUGGUGUGCUGCGGUUUGUUCGGAUGCUGCCUACGCAAGGCGUGUGGUGACCCCAGCGCUGUAGUCAGCAAGUUUCCAAAGUCUCAGGCUAGUAGUGGAAGAGCUGACUGAGGCGCAGGCACCUGCACGGAUCGGCCUUGCCCCUGCACGUCUGCUGCUUUCCCAAGAAGCACUAGCAGCCUUGUGACCAGCGACAGUGAGUCCUGAUGUGGUUUUGGGGAGUUAUUGCUUGGAUAAUGUCCUUGUUCCUUAACCUACAGCGCGUAAUUCUGAAUUCGGCUGGAAAGAGACCUUCCAAAACGGCAGUCUUCCUCACUCCAAGAAGCUGCGUUUUAUGAACCUUCCUCAGACGGAUCUCCGGGGUGAAGUCAUCAGCAACAGGACUGUUGGCUCUCUUUAGAACCACCAGCCAACCAAAGUCCAUUCCCUUCCACGGAGCCCAGCACAGCAGGUCUUGGAAAGGCUGGUGGCACCGCUGGGCUUUGGGUUCUCGCUUGUGCGAGUCGAGAUGUCACAGAAGCGUGUUCCCCUGUGCGCGGCAGUGCAGCCGCCCGCGUUAGCGAGCCUGCCUGUCCUUCUGGUCACCCGAUGAUGGGCUGCAGCGCUGGACUCUGUCUUUAUUUUUAAUGUUUUAUUUUUAAGUAAGCCCAUAUUUCAUGUCUCACUGUUUUUUCUUUUUUCCAAUCAUAAAUGAGACUUUACAAAUGUUAGAA